This is a non-coding RNA of Conexibacter woesei DSM 14684, 367 nucleotides long. It matches the Rfam family "transfer-messenger RNA". Rfam says of the family: Bacterial tmRNA, also known as 10Sa RNA or SsrA, is named for its dual tRNA and mRNA-like properties. Its role is to liberate the mRNA from a stalled ribosome. Lineage: Bacteria; Bacillati; Actinomycetota; Thermoleophilia; Solirubrobacterales; Conexibacteraceae. The record is from Rfam.
GGGGACGACAGGCUUCGACGUGGUCGAUUCGUGGGGAUGGUUGCGAGUCGAGGUUCCGGUUGGCCUCGUAAAACCACCGGAAAAACCAUACGUGCGGACUCUCACGAGUACGCCCUCGCCGCUUAGCACCUAGCUAAGGCAGUGAGGUUUCGGCCCCCGCCAGCCUGCCGUGGGGAUCGCCGGAAUCAGAAGCAGGCUCACCUGGGGAGGUACGCCUCUGCCGAACCGGGGACAUCUUCAGGAGGCUGGUCCCCCGCAACCCCGCCGGCGUGGCGAGCGAGGGACGAGAACAGAGCGCCGGCUACGCUCGUAGAAGCCAUCCUUUGCGCGACUGCGGACCCGGGUUCAAUUCCCGGCGUCUCCACUG